Molecule: ribosomal RNA, 508 nt
Filed under: uncultured bacterium
Lineage: Bacteria
Description: bacterial SSU rRNA
Rfam family: Bacterial small subunit ribosomal RNA
Source: RNAcentral
UGAGUAAUGUCUGGGGAUCUGCCCGAUAGAGGGGGAUAACCACUGGAAACGGUGGCUAAUACCGCAUAACGUCGCAAGACCAAAGAGGGGGACCUUCGGGCCUCUCACUAUCGGAUGAACCCAGAUGGGAUUAGCUAGUAGGCGGGGUAAUGGCCCCACCUAGGCAACAAUCCCUAGCUGGUCUGGAAGGGAUGACCACCCACACUGGAACUGAGACACGGUCCAGACUCCUACGGGAGGCAGCAGUGGGGGAAUAUUGCAACAAUGGGCGCAAGCCUGAUGCAGCCAUGCCGCGUGUAUGAAGAAGGCCUUCGGGUUGUAAAGUACUUUCAGCGGGGAGGAAGGCGGUGCGGUUAAUAACCGCGUCGAUUGACGUUACCCGCAGAAGAAGCACCGGCUAACUCCGUGCCAGCAGCCGCGGUAAUACGGAGGGUGCAAGCGUUAAUCGGAAUUACUGGGCGUAAAGCGCACGCAGGCGGUCUGUUAAGUCAGAUGUGAAAUCCCCGGG